RNAcentral lists this small nuclear RNA (191 nucleotides) under Erinaceus europaeus (western European hedgehog). Its description in RNAcentral is "U2 spliceosomal RNA". It matches the Rfam family "U2 spliceosomal RNA". Rfam says of the family: U2 is a small nuclear RNA (snRNA) component of the spliceosome (involved in pre-mRNA splicing). Complementary binding between U2 snRNA (in an area lying towards the 5' end but 3' to hairpin I) and the branchpoint sequence (BPS) of the intron results the bulging out of an unpaired adenosine, on the BPS, which initiates a nucleophilic attack at the intronic 5' splice site, thus starting the first of two transesterification reactions that mediate splicing. Lineage: Eukaryota; Metazoa; Chordata; Mammalia; Eulipotyphla; Erinaceidae. The record is from Rfam by way of RNAcentral.
AUUGCUUCUCGGCCUCUUGGCUAAGAUCAAGUGUAGUAUCUGUUCAUAUCCGUUUAAUAUCUGAUACGUCCUCUAUCCAAGGACAAUAUAUUAAAUGGAUUUUUGGAAUUAGGAGAUGGAAUAGGGCCUUGCUCUGUCCACUCCAUGCAUCAACCUGGUAUUGCAGUACCUCCAGGAAUGAUGCUCCCCUU